Cyprinus carpio carpio is the source of this 758-nucleotide long non-coding RNA. The record is from Ensembl. Lineage: Eukaryota; Metazoa; Chordata; Actinopteri; Cypriniformes; Cyprinidae.
CUAGGCUUACUGAGCGGGUUCCAGAGCAAUGGCUUUUAACUCGUGCAGGCGGGUAAGUAUUCAACAAGUAGCUGUAUCUUCACACUGGGCUUUACAGGGCGUAUUCAAGGUCAGUAGCUUUUAGCUCGUACAAACAGGUGAGUAUUCAACAAGUAACUGUAUCUUCACGCUGGGCUUACAGGGCGUAUUCAAGGGCAAUAGCUUUUAGCUCGUACAGAGAGGUAAGUAUUCAACAAGUGACUGACUCUUCACGCUGGGCUUACAGGGCGUAUUCAAGGGCAAUAGCUUUUAGCUCGUACAGACAGGUAAGUAUUCAACAAGUGGCUGUAUCUUCACGCUGGGCUUACAGAGCGUAUUCAAGGGCAAUAGCUUUCCCCACAAUAUCCGCACAAUACCUUGUUUUGCUUUCACACUUCACCUUCGAGCUGGGUCCGGAGAACGGAGUUAUAGGCGGGCGUAGGUGGGAUAGGUGGGCACCGCCACGGCAGCCUACGUUCUUUCCAACAGGAACUUUUCUCGGCCUGGAGGGCAAGUACAGACAACAGGGACACGGCACAGCACUGCAAAGCUUUAGUGCACACACGUCAAAGACAGACUCACCCACUGCACUACACACACUUCAGUGAUUUUUAAGGUCGGUACUCCACACCCGGUCGGAUUUCGUCCUGGAGGAAUUUGCAGUCGCUGUCACGGUAAGUGCUCCAAACUUUACGGUGUGGCCACAGCCAAAUAACAUCCAUUCACCCACGCUCUACUUC